This 856-nucleotide ribosomal RNA is filed under the name uncultured marine bacterium. Its description in RNAcentral is "bacterial SSU rRNA". It matches the Rfam family "Bacterial small subunit ribosomal RNA", at positions 8 to 916 of the family's 1533-position model. The record is from RNAcentral.
AGAGUUGAUCCUGGCUCAGAACGAACGCUGCGGCAGCCUAACACAUGCAAGUCGAGCGCGCCUUCGGGUGAGCGGCGGACGGGUUAGUAACGCGUGGGAACGUGCCCUUCUCUACGGAAUAGCCUCUGGAAACGGAGAGUAAUACCGUAUACACCCUUUGGGGGAAAGAUUUAUCGGAGAAGGAUCGGCCCGCGUUAGAUUAGGUAGUUGGUGGGGUAACGGCCUACCAAGCCUACGAUCUAUAGCUGGUUUUAGAGGAUGAUCAGCAACACUGGGACUGAGACACGGCCCAGACUCCUACGGGAGGCAGCGGUGGGGAAUCUUAGACAAUGGGGGCAACCCUGAUCUAGCCAUGCCGCGUGAGUGAUGAAGGCCUUAGGGUCGUAAAGCUCUUUCGCCUGUGAUGAUAAUGACAGUAGCAGGUAAAGAAACCCCGGCUAACUCCGUGCCAGCAGCCGCGGUAAUACGGAGGGGGUUAGCGUUGUUCGGAAUUACUGGGCGUAAAGCGCGCGUAGGCGGAUUAGAAAGUUGGGGGUGAAAUCCCGGGGCUCAACCCCGGAACUGCCUCCAAAACUGCUAGUCUAGAGUUCGAGAGAGGUGAGUGGAAUUCCGAGUGUAGAGGUGAAAUUCGUAGAUAUUCGGAGGAACACCAGUGGCGAAGGCGGCUCACUGGCUCGAUACUGACGCUGAGGUGCGAAAGUGUGGGGAGCAAACAGGAUUAGAUACCCUGGUAGUCCACACCGUAAACGAUGAAUGCCAGUCGUCGGAUAGUAUACUAUUCGGUGACACACCUAACGGAUUAAGCAUUCCGCCUGGGGAGUACGGUCGCAAGAUUAAAACUCAAAGGAAUUGACGG